Long non-coding RNA from Toxotes jaculatrix (banded archerfish), 3282 nucleotides. RefSeq lists it as uncharacterized. The record is from RefSeq and is a predicted model, not a curated record. The transcript is spliced from 5 exons. NCBI's taxonomy places the organism in Eukaryota, Metazoa, Chordata, Actinopteri, Toxotidae.
GUCAUCAACAGUUUCAUCCAUCAAGGAAAGGACCGUCCAAGGCUGCAGGGCAACUGACCGAAAGUGACGUGUCCCCCGAGCAACCUGCCGAAUCCCUGCAACUUCCAGUUGACCAGCAGGUGUCAGUACAGCCACAUCCUGUGCCUGUUCCUGGUAUAGACCUCCCAUCCAGCCUCACAAUCUCUGGACCUGAGACACGGGACAUGUUUAAAUAAUCCCACAGAAGAAGCAAAUUGCGGCAGAUGACAUCACUCUGAAUCAGGCCUCUGUUAAAGAGCAGAGACGCCAGGUAGGAGAACGACAAGAUGGCCACCACAGCAGACAGCAUGCAGAUGGUUCUGAUUGGGGACUGCUGGAUGUAGACACCAUUUACCAGAGUGCAUCCUGGGAACUGGAUUACAGGCGAUAUCCCAAGCAGCGGCUCCCCGCACAGCACCCGCAACAGCACGCCCACCGCACAGCCCAGAACGGCCCCGUAACCGUUCGAGACGCUGAAGAAGAGGACGCAGACGAGCUGCGGCAGCAUCAGGGUGUAGGUGAGGUCAGAGCGAAGCAUCCAGAUCAUCAGGACGCUGUUGUCCAGGAAGGUGAGAGAUGUGCCGGCCAGGCCCACCACUACCACUGAGGCCCGGAUCACCCACUGGAUCUCCUGCUCUGACGCCUGCAGGGAAGAACAUAAAUAACUGUCAAUUUAUUUCUGAUGCCCUUUUUUUUUUCCUAAACAUUCUAGUUCAAUGACACAUUCCACACCUGUGUCCUCAGGAUGUUCUUGUAGAUGUUGGAGGUGAAGAUAGACGCUGCAGACAGCAGGGCGGAGUCAGUGGAGGACAUCACAGCGGCGGCCACUGCCCCGAUGCCGAUGAUGGAGAUGUAGGUCGGGGUGAGGCGCUGCAGGACGAUGGGCAGGAUGAGUCCCGUCUCCCCCCGUUCAAAAGGAGACGGAGAUCCGUAAGAGCCGCUGCGCCGAGGAGUAUGGGCGGGAUGCCUAACGUGGGAACGAUGAAUGCGGCAGUGAAGCAGGUGAUCUUGGCUGUAGCUGAGGAGGCAGCGGACAGCGUCCUCUGGUGGAAGUUCUGAAGACCCAAGUUUCCCAAACCCUUGAAACACAAGAAAAAAUUACUCGCCUGUCAUGGUGAAGAUGCCGACCACCAGGUUGAUGCCCCGGUUACCCAGCAGAGCCAUCUCGGUCUUAUCCCCCUGGCCCCUCUUGGCUUCCUUUUUGGACUUGAUGGAAGCCCAGAUGCCGAUUCCGAGGACCAGCAGGUAGAAGAAAACCAUAACGGCCACGCCGGGGAUGUUGAGAGCCAUGUCGGAGCUGCAGGAUUCCCAGAGGAAGGCCGAGCGUCUGCCGGGCUGCCUGGAUGAUACAACACAUCCCUCCGCGCUGCUGCAUGAACACAGUCAUGGCAGAAAUGCUCUGAAGCUCAGUGGAGGCGCCUGGAACUGCACGUUACGCGCUGCAGUCAGCUGUCAAGGUGAAACACAGCGUUUUACACGGAGCUGCUCUGUGAUGGUCUGCGUCUGAAGCAGCGCUCACUCAUCUGUGGUGAUUCCAUCAAGAAAGAAAUGUUUGGGAAUGUGCACUUUAACAUUUUCAUGCAGUCAGACCCUCAUUUGAUCACACACGCGUAGCGUUUUAGCAAUAACCAUUUAAUACAUAUACAUAAUAUAUAGUUUUCGUUGUUGGUGGCGGAGUCCGCCAUUCUCAAGUUGCCUCCUCACGCCUGAGGGACUCACAGGAAUCACACGGCAUCAAACUGUUAGUGUUUUUAAUUAUGUCUCGCUGGUCAAAGCCGCGACUAUCUACCAGCAUUUCCUGCCGCGUCACAUUAAAAGCAUGGAAGCAUGGGUGGGAUGGGAUGGCUUUUAUUGUGAUGGAGUCACAGGCAGCGUAGUGAGAACAGGGCUGAUAAAUAAUAAAAGAAUAAAUAAUUUCAAUUUAACAGUCCUCGUGUCCCCUGUUGAUGAACUUAAAGUAAUAUGACCUCAGUGUUUCUGCGGUCCUGGCUGUGGUCCUGGCUAUAAUCCCAGAAAUUUGCCUGCUAUCAUCAAAAUAGAUAUUGGCCAACAUAAGAAAUAUGAGCGAAGGAGAAGCAUAAAUGUUUUACAGGACACAUAAUCUUCAGGAUUUAUUUUGUCAGCACGUCACUCUAAAAACACCACCUCCAGCACCAUGCUGUUUUUCCCAUAACACAGAGCAACACGCUCAGGCCUUUUCACAGAAACAAUAGCUGUGUUCACAGCAUCCCGCUGGUCCCAGGUCAACUGUAGCAAGACCUGAACACAUCAUCUGUAAAGACAGACUGAAAAGAGCCGAGGGGGGCCCAACGGAUUUUAAACUCCGUCUCAGAGCUCGACAAGUGAACGAUGAAGCAGAAGGACAAGUCUUUAAUGUGUUUCUGUGCAGAGGAUCUGAACGGCUGAAGGGGCGACCUGUGCUGUCAGAGCAAUUUCACAGUUCUGUUUGAUUUAUGUUGAUUACUCACAGUCACUGCACCAGGAUUACACUGACACGUUGGGUUUCAUUAAACAACACACAUCAGAAAGAUUUAGGAAAAGUUCUGCUCAGUAGCUUUAAUCUGAAACAGCUGGUGCAGCGAGUAAACAGCUGGUAAAUUAAAGUUCAAAGAAACAAAACCCAGACUUUUGAGGUAAAGUCAGAUUUUUUUUUUCUUUUGUUUUCUGCGUGGUUCUGUCUAACUGAUUGAUGGCUGGAUGUAUUUUUGCAGGUGUAUAUAUAGCCUGAUAUGUACUGUAUGUUUUCCUCCCACUGUUUCUGAGGACGCUCCAUUAAUGGCAAUGAAAUGUUCCUGUGUCUGAGCAACACUGUCAGCAACAGAAACAGCUGGGAAUUUAUUGUCCUCAGUUCAGAAAGUUUUUAUUUUUUUAUUUUUUCCAGUCAGGAAAAUUUCACUAAAGGCCCAGUUCUGUUUUGCAGGAACACUCUGAUCACAGCUACACACUGUGGGGCCAACUGUGAGUUAUUUAAUCACUAUGACACCACAGGAAACAGUGUUCGGUGAUUCAGUUGUCAAACACUGAAGCCGACACCUUCAGUGCUUAACCAGUGGGAUGCCACUCUCAGUCCACUGUCACAUUCUUCAGAUUACAGACCAGCGUCCCAGUGGCACAGACGCCUUGAACUGUUUCCCAUCUCUUUUUUUUUCUGUCGUCAUUUUAACUUUUUAAAACUUGGACAUGAGUAUAAAUCUGUUUUUGUCACUUUCAUAUGAUCUGUUGUAUCAGACACUGCAGGUAAUGUUUCAAAGAACACAUGUUGUG